This 686-nucleotide ribosomal RNA is filed under the name Escherichia coli. RNAcentral's name for it is "partial 23S ribosomal RNA". It matches the Rfam family "Bacterial large subunit ribosomal RNA", at positions 504 to 1191 of the family's 2925-position model. The record is from RNAcentral. Lineage: Bacteria; Pseudomonadati; Pseudomonadota; Gammaproteobacteria; Enterobacterales; Enterobacteriaceae.
UGAGGGAAAGGCGAAAAGAACCCCGGCGAGGGGAGUGAAAAAGAACCUGAAACCGUGUACGUACAAGCAGUGGGAGCACGCUUAGGCGUGUGACUGCGUACCUUUUGUAUAAUGGGUCAGCGACUUAUAUUCUGUAGCAAGGUUAACCGAAUAGGGGAGCCGAAGGGAAACCGAGUCUUAACUGGGCGUUAAGUUGCAGGGUAUAGACCCGAAACCCGGUGAUCUAGCCAUGGGCAGGUUGAAGGUUGGGUAACACUAACUGGAGGACCGAACCGACUAAUGUUGAAAAAUUAGCGGAUGACUUGUGGCUGGGGGUGAAAGGCCAAUCAAACCGGGAGAUAGCUGGUUCUCCCCGAAAGCUAUUUAGGUAGCGCCUCGUGAAUUCAUCUCCGGGGGUAGAGCACUGUUUCGGCAAGGGGGUCAUCCCGACUUACCAACCCGAUGCAAACUGCGAAUACCGGAGAAUGUUAUCACGGGAGACACACGGCGGGUGCUAACGUCCGUCGUGAAGAGGGAAACAACCCAGACCGCCAGCUAAGGUCCCAAAGUCAUGGUUAAGUGGGAAACGAUGUGGGAAGGCCCAGACAGCCAGGAUGUUGGCUUAGAAGCAGCCAUCAUUUAAAGAAAGCGUAAUAGCUCACUGGUCGAGUCGGCCUGCGCGGAAGAUGUAACGGGGCUAAACCAUG